UUGGAGGGCAAGUCUGGUGCCAGCAGCCGCGGUAAUUCCAGCUCCAAUAGCGUAUAUUAAAGUUGUUGCAGUUAAAAAGCUCGUAGUUGAAUUUCGGGGUCAGUAGGCUGGUCGUGCCACAGGUAUGUACUGGUCUUACUGAUUCCUCCUUCCUGAUGAACCGUAAUGCCAUUAAUUUGGUGUUGCGGGGAAUCUGGACUGUUACUUUGAAAAAAUUAGAGUGUUUAAAGCAGGCUAACGCUUGAAUACAUUAGCAUGGAGUAAUGAAAUAGGACGAUCGAUCCUAUUUUGUUGGUUUCUAGGAUUGACGUAAUGAUUAAUAGGGAUAGUUGGGGGCAUUAGUAUUCAAUUGUCAGAGGUGAAAUUCUUGGAUUUAUUGAAGACUAACUACUGCGAAAGCAUUUGCCAAGGAUGUUUUCAUUAAUCAAGAACGAAAGUUAGGGGAUCGAAGACGAUCAGAUACCGUCGUAGUCUUAACCAUAAACUAUGCCGACUAGGGAUCGGAUGAUGUUAAUUUUUUAAUGACUCAUUCGGCGCCUUACGGGAAA
Molecule: ribosomal RNA, 548 nt
Filed under: uncultured Glomeromycotina
Lineage: Eukaryota; Fungi; Glomeromycota
Description: SSU rRNA
Rfam family: Eukaryotic small subunit ribosomal RNA
Source: RNAcentral